GAGACCCACGCCAACAGUUGCCAGCACGUUCUCCGGAAUGGUGGGGACACUGUUGGGACCGCCUCUGCUAAAGAGGAGGAAGGAAUGGGCAACGGUAGGUCAGCAUGCCCCGAAUUACCCGGGCUACACGCGGGUUACAAUGGACAGGACAAUGGGAAUCGACACCGAGAGGUGAAGGCAAUCCCCUAAACCUGCCCUUAGUUCGGGUUGUGGGCUGCAACUCGCCCACAUGAAGCUGGAAUCCGUAGUAAUCGCGGAUCAACAUUCCGCGGUGAAUAU
Molecule: ribosomal RNA, 279 nt
Filed under: uncultured archaeon
Lineage: Archaea
Description: partial 16S rRNA
Rfam family: Archaeal small subunit ribosomal RNA
Source: RNAcentral